GAGAAAGAAAGUAUUUCCAACAGGUUUUUAUGCUGCUAUUAGUGUUGCAAUGCUCUGCUUCUACUCAUAUGUGCUGAUCUCGGGAGGGAACCCACCACCAAAGAAAUUGAAGUCAUCUCCAAGUUUUGCAUCAUGAUGAGAACACCUAAGGUAUGAUUAUUAGAUAUGGAAGGGUAGGAUUUUGUUUGAUUUAAUGUUGUAUUGUGAAUUCAAUGGGGGUUAUUAUAGAUGCAUAAUGUUGAACAUGCUUAUUUUUAUUCGAUUACUAAUUUGAUAGAA
Molecule: long non-coding RNA, 279 nt
Organism: Quercus robur (English oak)
Lineage: Eukaryota; Viridiplantae; Streptophyta; Magnoliopsida; Fagales; Fagaceae
Exons: 2
Source: RefSeq, a predicted model, not a curated record